GUCCAGCGCCCAGCCAGGACAUCAUAGUCACGCUGGGUGAAGUGGACCAGCUUGGUCAGGGCGUCAUACAGACCACCAUGAAAUCCGACCACAAGCUGGAAUUCUGGGUUGGAGUCCAAAUAAACCUCUCCAUAUGCUGUGUACUGCACCUGAAACAUAAUGUUGCUGAACCUUGCCUGGACCAAGUUAAGCAAAGCCAGGCCAUAAGAUUGGCCCCAUAAACUUCAAUGGUAGGCAGUAGGUAAUGACUGCAUAACUUAAUCCACCUCUCUGCUUACCCUGAUGUAGUCAAAACUGUGUGAGAACUAAUAUUUUUCAGUUCCAACAUAAACUUUAUAGUGCCCAUUAAAAGAAAGAAAAUUAAAAUAGUGAUUUGGCACAACACCGUUGUUUAGUCUAAUUCCUUGUUGCUAUUAUCCUUUGCCUUGUGCAUGUGAACAUGCGUAACUAUGAAUUCUGCAAUGAUUAUAUUUCAUGAAUCGUUUUUGUGAACUUGGAAAAAAAAAACAUCUGUAUUCCCAAACAUUUCCUCCCAUUGUCAUUGGUGUUUAAGAAGUGAGAUAACUACUUACAGCACCAGUAAAAGUUAAAUAACUAUUGCCUUGUAAGUCUGUAUGAACAAAAUGUUUGUAGUGAACAUCUGUACAAAUAAACACCUACCUGGAGGUCAUA
Long non-coding RNA from Phyllopteryx taeniolatus (common seadragon), 672 nucleotides. RefSeq lists it as uncharacterized. The record is from RefSeq and is a predicted model, not a curated record. NCBI's taxonomy places the organism in Eukaryota, Metazoa, Chordata, Actinopteri, Syngnathiformes, Syngnathidae. The transcript has 2 exons.